UUAAUUUGAGAGUUUGAUCCUGGCUCAGGACGAACGCUGGCGGCGUGCCUAAUACAUGCAAGUCGAACGAACUCUGGUAUUGAUUGGUGCUUGCAUCAUGAUUUACAUUUGAGUGAGUGGCGAACUGGUGAGUAACACGUGGGAAACCUGCCCAGAAGCGGGGGAUAACACCUGGAAACAGAUGCUAAUACCGCAUAACAACUUGGACCGCAUGGUCCGAGCUUGAAAGAUGGCUUCGGCUAUCACUUUUGGAUGGUCCCGCGGCGUAUUAGCUAGAUGGUGGGGUAACGGCUCACCAUGGCAAUGAUACGUAGCCGACCUGAGAGGGUAAUCGGCCACAUUGGGACUGAGACACGGCCCAAACUCCUACGGGAGGCAGCAGUAGGGAAUCUUCCACAAUGGACGAAAGUCUGAUGGAGCAACGCCGCGUGAGUGAAGAAGGGUUUCGGCUCGUAAAACUCUGUUGUUAAAGAAGAACAUAUCUGAGAGUAACUGUUCAGGUAUUGACGGUAUUUAACCAGAAAGCCACGGCUAACUACGUGCCAGCAGCCGCGGUAAUACGUAGGUGGCAAGCGUUGUCCGGAUUUAUUGGGCGUAAAGCGAGCGCAGGCGGUUUUUUAAGUCUGAUGUGAAAGCCUUCGGCUCAACCGAAGAAGUGCAUCGGAAACUGGGAAACUUGAGUGCAGAAGAGGACAGUGGAACUCCAUGUGUAGCGGUGAAAUGCGUAGAUAUAUGGAAGAACACCAGUGGCGAAGGCGGCUGUCUGGUCUGUAACUGACGCUGAGGCUCGAAAGUAUGGGUAGCAAACAGGAUUAGAUACCCUGGUAGUCCAUACCGUAAACGAUGAAUGCUAAGUGUUGGAGGGUUUCCGCCCUUCAGUGCUGUAGCUAACGCAUUAAGCAUUCCGCCUGGGGAGUACGGCCGCAAGGCUGAAACUCAAAGGAAUUGACGGGGGCCCGCACAAGCGGUGGAGCAUGUGGUUUAAUUCGAAGCUACGCGAAGAACCUUACCAGGUCUUGACAUACUAUGCAAAUCUAAGAGAUUAGACGUUCCCUUCGGGGACAUGGAUACAGGUGGUGCAUGGUUGUCGUCAGCUCGUGUCGUGAGAUGUUGGGUUAAGUCCCGCAACGAGCGCAACCCUUAUUAUCAGUUGCCAGCAUUAAGUUGGGCACUCUGGUGAGACUGCCGGUGACAAACCGGAGGAAGGUGGGGAUGACGUCAAAUCAUCAUGCCCCUUAUGACCUGGGCUACACACGUGCUACAAUGGAUGGUACAACGAGUUGCGAACUCGCGAGAGUAAGCUAAUCUCUUAAAGCCAUUCUCAGUUCGGAUUGUAGGCUGCAACUCGCCUACAUGAAGUCGGAAUCGCUAGUAAUCGCGGAUCAGCAUGCCGCGGUGAAUACGUUCCCGGGCCUUGUACACACCGCCCGUCACACCAUGAGAGUUUGUAACACCCAAAGUCGGUGGGGUAACCUUUUAGGAACCAGCCGCCUAAGGUGGGACAGAUGAUUAGGGUGAAGUCGUAACAAGGUAGCCGUAGGAGAACCUGCGGCUGGAUCACCUCCUUUCUAAGGAA
This 1576-nucleotide ribosomal RNA is filed under the name Lactiplantibacillus plantarum. RNAcentral's name for it is "Lactobacillus plantarum 16S ribosomal RNA". It matches the Rfam family "Bacterial small subunit ribosomal RNA". Lineage: Bacteria; Bacillati; Bacillota; Bacilli; Lactobacillales; Lactobacillaceae. The record is from RNAcentral.